UUCUUAGAGGGACUUUGCGGUUAUAAAUCGCAAGGAAGUUUAAGGCAAUAACAGGUCUGUGAUGCCCUUAGAUGUCCUGGGCUGCACGCGCGCUACACUGAUGCGUCCAUCGAGUUUAUCCUUGGCCGAGAGGCCUGGGUAAUCUUUAGUGCGCAUCGUGAUGGGGAUCGAUUAUUGCAAUUAUUAAUCGUGAACGAGGAAUGCCUAGUAUGCGCAAGUCAUCAGCUUGUGCAGAUUACGUCCCUGCCCUUUGUACACACCGCCCGUCGCUCCUACCGAUCGA
RNAcentral lists this ribosomal RNA (283 nucleotides) under Theileria velifera. Its description in RNAcentral is "partial 18S ribosomal RNA". It matches the Rfam family "Eukaryotic small subunit ribosomal RNA", at positions 1408 to 1692 of the family's 1831-position model. The record is from RNAcentral. Lineage: Eukaryota; Apicomplexa; Aconoidasida; Piroplasmida; Theileriidae.